AAGUUUAGGGGUCCGAAUAAUGUUAGUUUAUAUCAACAACAUAGUACAGCGAGAAGAAAACACGUCUCUGCUAUCAUCUGUUCUGGUAUCAUGACAGUGCAUGAAAUCCAAAGAUAGCUUUGACUGAAAACCAACCUGUGUUCAGCAGAGGAACAGGUAACGUUCAGGCUAACAUCAGCUGACUUAAGUUAUGGAGGGACCAGCCCCAAAUCACCAGUAUUAGCUUACUAGCUCUGCAGUGAGUCUUUAGGAAAAUAAAUGGCCGGUCAUUGUUCAUCGUGAAUGACCUACCUUGUGAAGAAGGACGGAGUGGGUUAUUUAACGUUAGCAAACUUAUUUCAUUGCUAUCAGUGCGGAGCUAACGUCAGUUUUCCCUCCACUAGAAUUAGCCUGUUGACGGACACUGGACACUGUGACGUGUGGAGGAGGACACUUUUUAUCCAUACACUUGGAAGAAGAAAUCAUCAAAGACAACAAGGACAAGAAGUUCCGUCACGUAUAUCUUCGAAGCAGACAUACACACAAUAAUAUUCACCAAUCAACUGAAGAAGAUUUCAACGAAAUGUGAUACAAAAUGUGACAGCGUUGAUCCCCUGUGCUCCCAUGACGAUAGCUGCCACGUCCUUAUCCUUCAUGUCAGGGUGUAGGAAACCCCCCGGCAGCACUGGUAAUCUGUCUGGGAAAACAUAGCCGCAGCACAUCAGGACCUGCCUGAAACAUACAACUCUGUGCCGCAGGAGUCUCCAUCGAUCUGAGACAACAAACAAAAGACAUGUGGAGCGAGUGAGUUGGGGA
Long non-coding RNA from Eleginops maclovinus (Patagonian blennie), 795 nucleotides. RefSeq lists it as uncharacterized. The record is from RefSeq and is a predicted model, not a curated record. The transcript has 3 exons. Lineage: Eukaryota; Metazoa; Chordata; Actinopteri; Perciformes; Eleginopidae.